RNAcentral lists this ribosomal RNA (477 nucleotides) under uncultured bacterium. RNAcentral's name for it is "partial 16S ribosomal RNA". It matches the Rfam family "Bacterial small subunit ribosomal RNA", at positions 30 to 507 of the family's 1533-position model. The record is from RNAcentral.
AUUGAACGCUGGCGGCAUGCCUUACACAUGCAAGUCGAGCGGUAACAGGUUAAGCUGACGUGUGUCGAACGGGUGAGGAAUGUAUCAGAACGUGCCCUGUCGUGGGUGAUAACUGCUCGCAAGAGCAGCUAAUCCCGCAUACGACCUGAGGGCGAAGGCGGGGGGUGGCAAGUCCUCGCGCCAUUGGCUCUGCCGAGAUCAGAUUAGGUAGUUGGUGGGGUAAAGGCUCACCAAGCCGACGAUCGGUAGCUGGUCUGAGAGGACGACCAGCCACACUGGAACUGAGACACGGCCCAGACUCCUACGGGAGGCAGCAGUGGGGAAUUUUGGACAAUGGGCGAAAGCCUGAUCCAGCCAUGCCGCGUGUGGGAAGAAGGUCUUCGGAUUGUAAACCGCUUUUGUCAGGGAAGAAAAGGUUCUGGCUAAUACCUGGGUGUCUUGACGGUACCUGAAGAAUAAGCACCGGCUAACUACGUG